AUUGAACGCUGGCGGCAGGCCUAACACAUGCAAGUCGAGCGGCAGCGGGAAAGUAGCUUGCUACUUUUGCCGGCGAGCGGCGGACGGGUGAGUAAUGCCUGGGAAAUUGCCCAGUCGAGGGGGAUAACAGUUGGAAACGACUGCUAAUACCGCAUACGCCCUACGGGGGAAAGCAGGGGACCUUCGGGCCUUGCGCGAUUGGAUAUGCCCAGGUGGGAUUAGCUAGUUGGUGAGGUAAUGGCUCACCAAGGCGACGAUCCCUAGCUGGUCUGAGAGGAUGAUCAGUCACACUGGAACUGAGACACGGUCCAGACUCCUACGGGGAGGCAGCAGUGGGGAAUAUUGGACAAUGGGCGAAAGCCUGAUCCAGCCAUGCCGCGUGUGUGAAGAAGGUCUUCGGAUCGUAAAGCACUUUAAGUUGGGAGGUAAGGGCAGGUAACCUAAUACGUUAAUUGUUUUUGACGUUACGACAGAUAAGCA
This 480-nucleotide ribosomal RNA is filed under the name uncultured bacterium. RNAcentral's name for it is "bacterial SSU rRNA". It matches the Rfam family "Bacterial small subunit ribosomal RNA", at positions 30 to 492 of the family's 1533-position model. The record is from RNAcentral.